This 391-nucleotide unclassified non-coding RNA is filed under the name Hevea brasiliensis (rubber tree). Lineage: Eukaryota; Viridiplantae; Streptophyta; Magnoliopsida; Malpighiales; Euphorbiaceae. The record is from RNAcentral.
CCCACUUUUUCCCUUUCCUUUCUCCCCAGUACAAAGAGCUCGAAAAUUUUCUGCGGUCUUAGGAACUGUUUUACCAAAGAGACCAAUGACGAUACGACCUAUUGAUUUUCCAUCGAUCUCAAUGUCAAAGUAAACUUUGUGGGUUACUACUUCCAAAUCCUCCUCUUCUGACUUAAUUUCUUUCUGACUAAGUCUGCUAUGGUUGAACUUCGGAUCUGAUGAAACUCUGGUGUCGCUUAAUCGAUUCUGAAUAAAAACUAGAGUUACAAAGAGAACCAGAACCCACAAGAGAGCGACAGAAAUCAAUCGUGCAGUGGUGGACAUGUCUCUGCUUCUCUUUGACGUUGGUGUUGUGAGAUUUCUGGAUCGGGCACAGAGCAGUGAAUGCCAA